RNAcentral lists this long non-coding RNA (2013 nucleotides) under Triticum aestivum (bread wheat). RNAcentral describes it as "long non-coding RNA (TAES_LNC007054)". The record is from RNAcentral. Lineage: Eukaryota; Viridiplantae; Streptophyta; Magnoliopsida; Poales; Poaceae.
AAACAUAUCUCAAUAAGAAAAAUAACUAACUUGUGGUGUACACAUGAUUUUAUCAGAUCAAGCAAUUCAGGUGGUAAGCAUAGUUGUUAAGCCAAAGUCCCAAAAUUGUACAUGAUUGAAUGUUGCUGUAUAGGCUAACCAGGACUUACAUAAAUCUACCCGGCGUAAAAUGAACCUUCAUCAAGCGCUAGAGAGGGAGAUAUCACCCCUACGCCGCAACCACGGCUCGUCAAGAUCAGACAUAACUAUAGAAGAAUAGGGCAACAACACAGAGUAAGUUUCCUCUGCACUUAUAUUUUUAAUAUACAACACUCACGAUGGAGUCUCCAAAUCGCAAUAAUGGAGCGUUACAGAUUUUGUUAGAUCUAACUUGAACAGUGGCGGCGACUCGUGGAUCCCUUCCAAACAGCAGGAAAUCAAAGAUCUCGGACCUGACAAGGUAUGAAUCCUGAUGAUGUAGCCCCAAAAUAGCCAGGUCUUACUUAAUCGUAAUGGAAGAAACUGGAAGAAGCUAAUUAUGGUGGCCCGUGCAUUGCAACGGGGUAUCAAAAUUACGGCCUUUAAAUCGAGCAAUUCAGAACAUGAUAACUACAAUGAUUAUUAAUAAUGUACAUCCCAUCUUGUUAAUUGAAAUCAAAUAAAACUGAUCGCAGAUUGCUCUUCAGAAUUAGAUGCAAAACCCAACAUUCAUGUUUACAUAAGAAUAGUGCAGAAAUGCGGAUUAAUAAUUCCCCUAUACAUAUCAUGUCAUGCUAAAUAACUGUAUACAUAUGCAGAUAUUGACCUACGAAUUUCACCAACAAAUCAUGAUAUAGUCUUACAUUUAACAAAAUGGUAAAAAAUAGAAUCAAUCAUAGCUAAUAGCAAUAUAAUAAAUUCUUGUGAAUGAUAGUUUGGCUAUACAUGGAAACCUAAGAUCAGAUUAACUCGUGACGGAAGAAGGCGUUGUAGCAACAUAAUAAUUAAAAUCCAUCGGAAGAAUAUUUCUGAAAUUACACACUAUGCACAAGCAUAUGGAAAAAGGAUCACUAAACAUCAUGAUCUAGUAAAAGUACAUGAGAGAAAAAACUGAAAAAAUAACAGUCAAUUAUUUUAUAGAACUUCCCUUUGUUCUUCAAACAAAUGGUAACAAUCAUGAUGCCAUAUUAGAGCUUAUUCAGGACAUCUUUUUUUACUAAAGGGAGUAGUAUGUUUCAGCAAAAGUGUCAAACUAUGUCUACACAUUUUACAUACAAUUAUCUCUGUCAUCUGGACCUACACUGCUCUGCACCUCAUUAAAAUCCUAUCCAUCAAAAUUUAUGCCAUUAACAAAAUCUAGGACUUGGGUGUUAACGGCUAAAAAGCAGUUUCGCUAAGUCCUCAGUGGUGUUGCACCAAUAAUAUGGUGGAGUGCUUGAAUCCGUCAUCAGCGUCAACUAUCAAAGUUAGACACUGGUCACCAGUCAUGCACUGCCUCCCAUUCAGAACAUAGUGAGGAUAAGCAGGCCAGACACGAAGUCUGCGGCAGUGGCCAUGAGGGCGACGAUCGGGUGCCCAUGGUGCAGCGCCGAGCUACAGAACACUCCCACGACCUUGCCGCAUCCAGCGGAGAGGGAGCACCGGUAGCAGCUUGUAGGGAUAGACGUGCUCGUGGCCGGGGAUCACCCGGGAAAGCGUUGGUUGGAGGUGCCUCCCGCUUCAGUUGCUUAUAGGAAGGAAUGUACAUGACAAACUUGCUACCGCUGAAGAAUCAUAUGAAUCAACCUAUGUGUUUUCAAGACGUAUGAAACACACGAAAAGACUGAGCCUUCACGUGAAGUUUGCAGGUUUGCAUCAACAAUAGAGAAGUAAGAGGAAUUAGAUUAAUAAGAGUACUAAACAGGGUGGCGGCCGCCAAGGAGCGAAUUGAUCAUCUCACCUUGACGCAAUAGCUUGGUCCAAGUUGGUGGCACUUCUGUAGGUAGUAUUGACCGCGCCACCAAUGCCAAUCCCGUGAAAGCCAGCCUGAAUGAAAGGCACAAGAGGAAACCAGAG